This is a long non-coding RNA of Acanthochromis polyacanthus (spiny chromis), 779 nucleotides long. RefSeq lists it as uncharacterized. The record is from RefSeq and is a predicted model, not a curated record. The transcript has 5 exons. Lineage: Eukaryota; Metazoa; Chordata; Actinopteri; Pomacentridae.
UCCUUAGAUCUUUAAGGUUUGAGUCUGCAGGUUGUUCAGUUCUUAGAUCUUUAAGGUUUGAGUCUGCAGGUUGUUCAGUCCUUAGAUCUUUAAGGUUUGAGUCUGCAGGUUGUUCAGUCCUUAGAUCUUUAAGGUUUGAGUCUGCAGGUUGUUCAGUCCUUAGAUCUUUAAGGUUUGAGUCUGCAGGUUGUUCAGUCCUUAGAUCUUUAAGGUUUGAGUCUGCAGGGUGUUCAGUCCUUAGAUCUUUAAGGUUUGAGUCUGCAGGGUGUUCAGUCCUUAGAUCUUUAAGGUUUGAGUCUGCAGGUUGUUCAGUCCUUAGAUCUUUAAGGUUUGAGUCUGCAGGUUGUUCAGUCCUUAGAUCUUUAAGGUUUGAGUCUGCAGGUUGUUCAGUCCUUAGAUCUUUAAGGUUUGAGUCUGCAGGUUGUUCAGUCCUUAGAUCUUUAAGGUUUGAGUCUGCAGGUUGUUCAGUCCUUAGAUCUUUAAGGUUUGAGUCUGCAGGUUGUUCAGUCCUUAGAUCUUUAAGGUUUGAGUCUGCAGGUUGUUCAGUUCUUAGAUCUUUAAGGUUUGAGUCUGCAGGUUGUUCAGUUCUUAGAUCUUUAAGGUUUGAGUCUGCAGGUUGUUCAGUUCUUAGAUCUUUAAGGUUUGAGUCUGCAGGUUGUUCAGUUCUUAGAUCUUUAAGGUUUGAGUCUGCAGGGUGUUCAGUCCUUAGAUCUUUAAGGUUUGAGUCUGCAGGGUGUUCAGUCCUUAGAUCUUUAAGGUUUGAGUCUGCAGGGUGUUCA